This 1506-nucleotide long non-coding RNA is filed under the name Cricetulus griseus (Chinese hamster). Its description in RNAcentral is "lncRNA (ENSCGRG00000024311.1)". Lineage: Eukaryota; Metazoa; Chordata; Mammalia; Rodentia; Cricetidae. The record is from RNAcentral.
GGGCCUGGGCUUAAGUCCUCUAGCUCCGAGGUUAGACUGUUUAACAAGCUGUCCGCCCUUGCUGGUUUCUUCAUUUUCUCACGUUUUGUUUAAUUAAAAAACUGAGGCUGGGGCUACAGAUCAGUGGCUAGCCCUUGCCUAUCAUGCCCUAGAUUUAUACUCCACAGAGAAAAAACAAAAUUCUAAAUUCACCAUUACAGCACACAUUGACAGCAAAGCAAUCAGAAGAAAGCAGGCACACCUGUCACCUAUGCUGACCCUGAGAGCGCCACAUCUGGGUCCUCAGACAAAGAACACCUGCAGAUUCCACCCUUGAUGCAGUUCUGGUCCUGAACCCAAUAAAAAGGAGAAGAGGAGCUGAGCACCGACACUCAUCUCUCUCUGCUUCCUGACUGUGGAUGCCUCAACCUGUUGAUUCCCCACCAUGAUGGACUGUAGCCUUGAACUGCGAGCCAAAGUGAACCCUAUCUCCCUAUGGAUAGUCUGGGGUCAUCCUCCUGCCCAGCCACUUCCUUCCUCCUUUCCAAUUCAGAAGCCAUCAUCCUCUGGACAGCGAACAUCCUGUAUCCAUGGAGAUUGGGUCCUGGAAUCACCUGCAACCCUGCUGAAGUUCUGUGUCAAGGCCAAGCAGCCAUGUGUUAUAUGAGCCACACUCUCCACUUAGAGAAAGCCGAGCAUCUGAGAAGUUACUGGCAAAUGAGAUGGAAAAUGCCCAAGAGUUUCUUACUCCUUUCCAAAGAAAACAAACCUGCUGGAGACUGCACAAACAGAAAAUACUGGUCCUGCAUUGUGUAAAUUAUAUCUGCUUAAUGAUUCCUUCUAUGAACUAUUAAAGUUCUAAUAGUGUGUGCAUUUAGAUCUCCAUCAUUUAUUUUGACCCCCAUAGUGCUGAGCAAGUGCUAUGUCGCUGAACCACCCUGCGGGUCUUGAAUCUCCAUGAUUCCCACUAGAACACAGUUCUGAUUAUUUGCUGCAUGUUCAGAAGGAGCCGAAGGUCCAGUUGAUGGCCCAGUGGCCACUCAGUGAGUGUGCAUUAUGUUCAAGGUCCUGUGCUCCAUGUGAAUGUGAAAGACAGGUGACUUCACUUAUUCCAUUAAGGAGACAGAUAAAUGACAAACCUAUGAGUCAUGAUGCCAGUUGAGUGCUUUGGGGAAAUGAAUAGGUGCUUUGAUGGGGAAAGCCUGGGUAUGAGGCAGUAGCUGGACAGGGUAUUUAGGCUGGGCCCUUUAAGGAGCUUCAGCCUGAGUAGGGAGAGGAGCCUGUAAGGCAAAAGUGUGGGGAAAACCUUUAGUCAGAGAAACCAGUAAGUCUACAAAUAGGCUGAAAUAAGAUCCAGAAAGGUUGUGAGGGCUCCAAAGAGUUACAAGAAGAGAACAGGACAGAAGAGGAGAGGGAGGCAAAGCUACCUUUGAGUGAUACCCUUGAUACUCAAAGAUACCCUUGAGUGAAAUAAUCAAAAUGACUGCAGGGCUGGAGGAGGGCUGCAGGGCUGGCGGUGGGGGUGGG